This is a long non-coding RNA of Aedes aegypti (yellow fever mosquito), 406 nucleotides long. RefSeq lists it as uncharacterized. The record is from RefSeq and is a predicted model, not a curated record. The transcript is spliced from 2 exons. Lineage: Eukaryota; Metazoa; Arthropoda; Insecta; Diptera; Culicidae.
UUUUCAGCGUAACUGGCAUCAGUUAGUUUUUGGUUUUGCCCUUUACGGAAGUUUAGAAAAGUAUUCGUCGUAGAAAUGAACUUCAAGUUGUUCGCACUUCUUUUUGCAGCUUUGUUGGCUAUGACACAGUUCACUAAUGCAGCCGAAGCGGAUAACACAAUGGAGGAUAUGAUUAACAAGAGAGAGGCAUUAAUUCCGCCAAUGUGUGUCACCGAUCCAUGUCCCGGCCGAUAGGAAUCCACGGCACAAUCGGCCGAGGAAAACGAAUCUAAACCUAACGUGAAUGGAAGAAACGGGGACCGGUUGAAGAAAGGAUAAUGGCCAGCUGAGUGUAACGUUUGACCCACUUGGAGGAUAUUAAAUGAUCUUUCGAGGCAUCGUCAAUAAAAGAUUCAAUGCUGUUACA